Molecule: ribosomal RNA, 613 nt
Filed under: Russula mairei
Lineage: Eukaryota; Fungi; Basidiomycota; Agaricomycetes; Russulales; Russulaceae
Description: LSU rRNA
Rfam family: Eukaryotic large subunit ribosomal RNA
Source: RNAcentral
GCAUAUCAAUAAGCGGAGGAAAAGAAACUAACAAGGAUUCCCCUAGUAACUGCGAGUGAAGCGGGAAAAGCUCAAAUUUAAAAUCUGGUGGCCUUUGGUCAUCCGAGUUGUAAUUUAGAGAAGCGUCUUCCGCGCUGGACCGUGCACAAGUCUCCUGGAAUGGAGCGUCAUAGAGGGUGAGAAUCCCGUCUUUGGCACGGACCCCAGGGCUUCUGUGAUGCGCUCUCGAAGAGUCGAGUUGUUUGGGAAUGCAGCUCAAAAUGGGUGGUGAACUCCAUCUAAAGCUAAAUAUUGGCGAGAGACCGAUAGCGAACAAGUACCGUGAGGGAAAGAUGAAAAGCACUUUGGAAAGAGAGUGAAACAGUACGUGAAAUUGUUGAAAGGGAAACGCUUGAAGUCAGUCGCGUCGCCCGAGACUCAGCCUUGCCUCGGCUUGGUGUACUUCUCGGCUGACGGGUCAGCAUCAAUUUCACCCCUUGGAUAAUGACGAGGGAAAUGUGACACCUUCACGGGUGUGUUAUAGUCCCACGUCGCAUGCMAGGGUCGGGAUUGAGGAACUCAGCACGCGCUUCGGCGUCGGGGCUUUGCCCACGAUACGUGCUUAGGAUGUUGG